UAAAUGGAGGCCAAAAAGAGGCGCCUAGCUGUUAAUUAGGAGAGUGUAAGAAAUGUUUACCCAUUUAG
This 68-nucleotide transfer RNA is filed under the name Ifremeria nautilei. Its description in RNAcentral is "tRNA-Asn". The record is from RNAcentral. Lineage: Eukaryota; Metazoa; Mollusca; Gastropoda; Provannidae.